RNAcentral lists this small nucleolar RNA (107 nucleotides) under Gossypium hirsutum (cotton). Its description in RNAcentral is "Plant small nucleolar RNA R71". It matches the Rfam family "Plant small nucleolar RNA R71". Rfam says of the family: R71 is a member of the C/D box family of snoRNAs containing the C (UGAUGA) and D (CUGA) box motifs. RNAcentral also lists the same sequence under 3 other names. Lineage: Eukaryota; Viridiplantae; Streptophyta; Magnoliopsida; Malvales; Malvaceae. The record is from Rfam by way of RNAcentral.
AACCCAUGAUGAGGGCACCUUCUUAAUAGAUCCUUGUAUCUCUCUCAUGCAUCAUAUAAUGUCUCUAAAUUGAUCUGGGUAAAGGAAGAAAUAUCAUUCCUUACCUU